CUCGUCAGCAUCGUUGUUGCUGAAAUGUUUGAAAAGUAUGGACGUGCUCCCCCUAUGGAUAAAAGAGCACAGUAUGCAUUGGGGAUAGUAACACUGUUCCCCUCUCUAAAAGAUCCCUACUCCAAAAAAGGCUAUGAACACUUUUUUGACAUAGACAGCAAUGAGGGCUACA
Molecule: long non-coding RNA, 172 nt
Organism: Fundulus heteroclitus (mummichog)
Lineage: Eukaryota; Metazoa; Chordata; Actinopteri; Cyprinodontiformes; Fundulidae
Exons: 3
Source: RefSeq, a predicted model, not a curated record